Molecule: ribosomal RNA, 433 nt
Filed under: uncultured bacterium
Lineage: Bacteria
Description: partial 16S ribosomal RNA
Rfam family: Bacterial small subunit ribosomal RNA
Source: RNAcentral
AACGAACGCUGGCGGCAUGCCUAACACAUGCAAGUCGAACGAGACCUUCGGGUCUAGUGGCGCACGGGUGCGUAACGCGUGGGAACCUGCCCUUAGGUUCGGAAUAACUCCCCGAAAGGUGUGCUAAUACCGGUUAAUGUCUUCGGACCAAAGAUUUAUCGCCUUUGGAUGGGCCCGCGUUGGAUUAGCUAGUUGGUAGGGUAAAAGCCUACCAAGGCGACGAUCCAUAGCUGGUCUGAUAGGAUGAUCAGCCACACUGGGACUGAGACACGGCCCAGACUCGUACGGGAGGCAGCAGAGGGGAAUAUUAGACAAGGGGCGAAAGCCUGAUCCAGCAAUGUCGCGUGAGUGAUGAAGGCCUUAGGGUUGUAAAGCUCUUUUACCCGGGAUGAUAAUGACAGUACCGGGAGAAUAAGCUCCGGCUAACUCCGUG